CCCUUAGAUGUUCUGGGCCGCACGCGCGCUACACUGACGAAUGCAACGAGCUUAUAACCUUGGCCGAAAGGUCUGGGUAAUCUCCAAAUUUCGUCGUGAUGGGGAUAGAUUAUUGCAAUUAUUAAUCUUCAACGAGGAAUGCCUAGUAAGCGCAAGUCAUCAGCUUGCAUUGAUUACGUCCCUGCCCUUUGUACACACCGCCCGUCGCUCCUACCGAUUGAAUGGUCCGGUGAAGCGUUCGGACCGUGGCCUUUGGACGGUUCGCCGUCUGUUGGCUGCGGGAAGUUCGUUAAACCUUAUCAUUUAGAGGAAGGAGAANUCGUAACA
RNAcentral lists this ribosomal RNA (327 nucleotides) under uncultured eukaryote. Its description in RNAcentral is "partial 18S ribosomal RNA". It matches the Rfam family "Eukaryotic small subunit ribosomal RNA", at positions 1470 to 1796 of the family's 1831-position model. The record is from RNAcentral.